Eleginops maclovinus (Patagonian blennie) is the source of this 766-nucleotide long non-coding RNA. RefSeq lists it as uncharacterized. The record is from RefSeq and is a predicted model, not a curated record. The transcript has 3 exons. NCBI's taxonomy places the organism in Eukaryota, Metazoa, Chordata, Actinopteri, Perciformes, Eleginopidae.
CUCAAACGACGCUUCUUCCCGAACAAACAUUUUCAUGCAGCAAUUCUGAAGUAACGUGGAUACAAAAAUGAUACGUUAACAGAUGUUUUCUAAAACUCUGGAAAAGGUCAUCGGUUUUAAUUGGUCGAGGAACCAUGUGGUGUCCAUGUGGUGUCCAUCCAACAUCGGCCAAAAACUGAGGAAAGCUGCCACACCUGUUUGUCCUUCAAAGCGUCCUUCACAUGGAUUCCACCUUUUACUUUUUCCCCUCCUCGACUCCUCGACUCCUCGACUCGCGUCCCAGUCCCGCCCCCACGAGAUGCGAGCGGAGGGAGGAGAGAGGAGUGGAAACAGCCGUUUAGAUAAAUGAGAAAUCCUCUCCUCUGAGCGGUCAUUCUGAAGCGGCGUCCAAUAAUGAUGACAGGAGGCACAGCAACACUGUUUUCAUGACAAUUUAUAUAUAUAUAUGUUUUCCCAAAUUUGAAUUUCCAACCAUUUCUUGGUAAUUAUCACUUUUUCCUAGAUCUGACUUUUUUUCAAAUUUCAGAUUUUUUUCCUAAAUGUCAGAUUCAUUUUUUUAAAUGAUCAGUCUUUCCUUUUUAAAAUGUCCCACUUUUUUCUCAUUAUUCUAGCUCCUUCUUCAUGAGGCUCUAAUGAUCUUCUUCACAGUUUUAGUCUCCCCUUUCUUUUCCCUUUCUAUUUUCUUUUCAAACUUCUGAUUUUUUUCUCCAAAUUCUGACUUUUUCACACUACACACUGUACGACACACACCUACACACAGGAUAUA